Ananas comosus (pineapple) is the source of this 497-nucleotide long non-coding RNA. RefSeq lists it as uncharacterized. NCBI's taxonomy places the organism in Eukaryota, Viridiplantae, Streptophyta, Magnoliopsida, Poales, Bromeliaceae. The record is from RefSeq and is a predicted model, not a curated record. The transcript is spliced from 4 exons.
UAAGGCUGUUUUGGUCUUUUCACCUCCUGAUCCUUAUCUACCUGAUCCAGCUCGAGCUCUGGAGCACCUUGGAAGGUAGUAGAGCUCAGAGAAGGGUUUCUUCACCUUCCUCACACUCUCUCUCUCUAGGGAUUUUCUCUCUCUACAAAGAAGUCACCGUUUUGCACCGUCGUCAUCGCCGAGCUCGCUCUUCGCUAUUUGGGAGUGUCACUGAGCCUUGGUGGACGUGUGGGGGAGUGUUUUGGAGAGCUUUUCGCAGCCCUGGACCAGUAACUCACUGGUUGCAAGCUUGAGAAGGUUUCCGAACCACGUGGAGCUUAUUUGGUGACCUGGGAGGCUGGUUUAGAAGGUGUUCUACCUCGAGCAGGAGUGUGAUCGACUCUUGGAGUGAUUUUGGCUGACCUGUGGAAGCUCUGGAAGACUCGACUUGAGCAGAUCCAGGGACCGUUUGAGCUGAGUUCGAAGCAUCUCUUGGGCUGUUUUGAGCUUAGUGAUAG